UACGAAGGGGGCUAGCGUUACUCGGAUUGACUGGGCGUAAAGGGCGCGUAGGCGGUUUGUACAGUCAGGCGUGAAAGCCCCGGGCUCAACCUGGGAGGUGCGCUUGAUACUCGAGGGCUUGAGUGCGGGAGAGGAGAGUGGAAUUCCCAGUGUAGAGGUGAAAUUCGUAGAUAUUGGGAAGAACACCGGUGGCGAAGGCGGCUCUCUGGACCGUAACUGACGCUGAGGCGCGAAAGCGUGGGGAGCAAACAGG
RNAcentral lists this ribosomal RNA (253 nucleotides) under uncultured bacterium. Its description in RNAcentral is "partial 16S ribosomal RNA". It matches the Rfam family "Bacterial small subunit ribosomal RNA", at positions 524 to 776 of the family's 1533-position model. The record is from RNAcentral.